GAUUCUGGCUCAGGAUGAACGCUAGCUACAGGCUUAACACAUGCAAGUCGAGGGGCAGCAUGAUCUUAGCUUGCUAAGAUGAUGGCGACCGGCGCACGGGUGAGUAACGCGUAUCCAACCUUCCCUGUACUAGGGGAUAGCCCGGCGAAAGUCGGAUUAAUACCCUAUGUUUUCCGAAGCGAGCAUUUAAUUUGGAACAAAGGUUUACCGGUAUAGGAUGGGGGAUGCGUCUGAUUAGAUAGUAGGCGGGGUAACGGCCCACCUAGUCGACGAUCAGUAGGGGUUCUGAGAGGAAGGUCCCCCACAUUGGAACUGAGACACGGUCCAAACUCCUACGGGAGGCAGCAGUGAGGAAUAUUGGUCAAUGGGCGAGAGCCUGAACCAGCCAAGUAGCGUGCAGGAUGACGGCCCUAUGGGUUGUAAACUGCUUUUAUAUAGGGAUAAAGUGAGGGACGUGUCCCUUAUUGUAGGUACUAUAUGAAUAAGGACCGGCUAAUUCCGUGCCAGCCGCCGC
Molecule: ribosomal RNA, 514 nt
Filed under: uncultured bacterium
Lineage: Bacteria
Description: bacterial SSU rRNA
Rfam family: Bacterial small subunit ribosomal RNA
Source: RNAcentral